GACACUAUAGCUCAGUGGCAGAGUAUAGGAUUGCAAUGUUGCGUACAUUAUCCUGGAGUCCCGCGUUCAAACCGCGGUAGUGUCU
Mycena leptocephala is the source of this 85-nucleotide non-coding RNA. The record is from the annotation of a GenBank genome assembly. NCBI's taxonomy places the organism in Eukaryota, Fungi, Basidiomycota, Agaricomycetes, Agaricales, Mycenaceae.